ACCUUUCAAAUCAGGGUGCGGCGCGGCCCCCGAGGAGCGGAAACAAUCCUUGGGAGGUAUGCGGGGGCUUCGAGCCCCCCAUUUACGCACGCACGACUGCCAUCCUUACUUUACGAGCACCUUCUGUUCUCCCUCGGCGGGGCAACCUGCCGUUGGAACCGAAUAAACUCUUUUUGCAUCUAGCUAUUACCUGUUCCGAAACAAACAAUCGUUA
This 214-nucleotide unclassified non-coding RNA is filed under the name soil metagenome. Its description in RNAcentral is "partial internal transcribed spacer 1". The record is from RNAcentral.